RNAcentral lists this ribosomal RNA (1446 nucleotides) under uncultured organism. Its description in RNAcentral is "SSU rRNA". It matches the Rfam family "Bacterial small subunit ribosomal RNA". The record is from RNAcentral.
GCUACAGGCUUAACACAUGCAAGUCGAGGGGCAUCAGGAAGAAAGCUUGCUUUCUUUGCUGGCGACCGGCGCACGGGUGAGUAACACGUAUCCAACCUGCCCUUUACUCGGGGAUAGCCUUUCGAAAGAAAGAUUAAUACCCGAUAGCAUAAUGAUUCCGCAUGGUUUCAUUAUUAAAGGAUUCCGGUAAAGGAUGGGGAUGCGUUCCAUUAGGUUGUUGGUGAGGUAACGGCCCACCAAGCCUUCGAUGGAUAGGGGUUCUGAGAGGAAGGUCCCCCACAUUGGAACUGAGACACGGUCCAAACUCCUACGGGAGGCAGCAGUGAGGAAUAUUGGUCAAUGGGCGCUAGCCUGAACCAGCCAAGUAGCGUGAAGGAUGAAGGCUCUAUGGGUCGUAAACUUCUUUUAUAUAAGAAUAAAGUGCAGUAUGUAUACUGUUUUGUAUGUAUUAUAUGAAUAAGGAUCGGCUAACUCCGUGCCAGCAGCCGCGGUAAUACGGAGGAUCCGAGCGUUAUCCGGAUUUAUUGGGUUUAAAGGGAGCGUAGGUGGACUGGUAAGUCAGUUGUGAAAGUUUGCGGCUCAACCGUAAAAUUGCAGUUGAUACUGUCAGUCUUGAGUACAGUAGAGGUGGGCGGAAUUCGUGGUGUAGCGGUGAAAUGCUUAGAUAUCACGAAGAACUCCGAUUGCGAAGGCAGCUCACUGGACUGCAACUGACACUGAUGCUCGAAAGUGUGGGUAUCAAACAGGAUUAGAUACCCUGGUAGUCCACACAGUAAACGAUGAAUACUCGCUGUUUGCGAUAUACAGUAAGCGGCCAAGCGAAAGCAUUAAGUAUUCCACCUGGGGAGUACGCCGGCAACGGUGAAACUCAAAGGAAUUGACGGGGGCCCGCACAAGCGGAGGAACAUGUGGUUUAAUUCGAUGAUACGCGAGGAACCUUACCCGGGCUUAAAUUGCAGUGGAAUGAUGUGGAAACAUGUCAGUGAGCAAUCACCGCUGUGAAGGUGCUGCAUGGUUGUCGUCAGCUCGUGCCGUGAGGUGUCGGCUUAAGUGCCAUAACGAGCGCAACCCUUAUCUUCAGUUACUAACAGGUCAUGCUGAGGACUCUGGAGAGACUGCCGUCGUAAGAUGUGAGGAAGGUGGGGAUGACGUCAAAUCAGCACGGCCCUUACGUCCGGGGCUACACACGUGUUACAAUGGGGGGUACAGAAGGCAGCUAGCGGGUGACCGUAUGCUAAUCCCAAAAGCCUCUCUCAGUUCGGAUCGAAGUCUGCAACCCGACUUCGUGAAGCUGGAUUCGCUAGUAAUCGCGCAUCAGCCACGGCGCGGUGAAUACGUUCCCGGGCCUUGUACACACCGCCCGUCAAGCCAUGGGAGCCGGGGGUACCUGAAGUACGUAACCGCAAGGAUCGUCCUAGGGUAAAACUGGUGACUGGGGCUAAGUCA